UACGGAGGGAGCUAGCGUUGUUCGGAAUUACUGGGCGUAAAGCGCACGUAGGCGGUUACUCAAGUCAGAGGUGAAAGCCCGGGGCUCAACCCCGGACUGCCUUUGAAACUAGGUAACUAGAAUCCUGGAGAGGUGAGUGGAAUUCCGAGUGUAGAGGUGAAAUUCGUAGAUAUUCGGAAGAACACCAGUGGCGAAGGCGGCUCACUGGACAGGUAUUGACGCUGAGGUGCGAAAGCGUGGGGAGCAAACAGGAUUAGAAACCCUAGUAGU
This 270-nucleotide ribosomal RNA is filed under the name uncultured bacterium. RNAcentral's name for it is "partial 16S ribosomal RNA". It matches the Rfam family "Bacterial small subunit ribosomal RNA", at positions 524 to 794 of the family's 1533-position model. The record is from RNAcentral.